Molecule: long non-coding RNA, 998 nt
Organism: Biomphalaria glabrata
Lineage: Eukaryota; Metazoa; Mollusca; Gastropoda; Planorbidae
Exons: 4
Source: RefSeq, a predicted model, not a curated record
AGCGAGACAAAGCAAGAGGAAUCUCUGCUCUAAAUUUUUAUCCUUGAACAUGGUCAUGGUCUCUCGUUGACACAAUUAUAACUUCAACUUGCAUCAAUUAUUUCAAUAACCGCCCACCUUUACCCCAAAAUUACAUCGCAGAUUUCAGAAGUACUUUGGUUGGUUUGAGAAAAACAAUACUGGAAGCCCAUUCAGACGUACCCACAUCACGGAGUGUCUGUCACUUGACCUAGACACAUUAACAACAAGAAAACCAGCACACCAACGUGACAUUCUGGUUCAAAUCCGCUAUCUUUCGAUCAAAAGCUAAGGGGAAAAGGGACUAUUUCCAGAAGAAAUGAGAUCAAACCAUAUCUCUGUUCCUAAACUGGGUCAACAGCUGAUGGUCUGGUGACGACCUAGUUUGGUUCAAAAACAAUGCCUACAAAAAAUGAAAGUAUGUUCGAGCGAGUCCAUAGGAGGUUUCAUCAAAAGCUUUACUUUGAAUUACUUCCACUAGAAGUGACUAGAACAUUGGAUCAGUUGUUGAGUAGUCUCUCCCAAUCCAACAAGCAAUAAGACUAAGCUUGAUUUAAUUUGUACAAAGCCUGUUUAAAGAAGAUCGCGUAAUUCUAUAUCUUGAAGACCACAACCAAUGUAAAUCUUUAUAAAAUCGUGAGAUCUGAAAGACCAUAUCAUCGCAGAUAGACUAGAACACUAGACCUUAAGUCUCGAUCUAGUUGCUGUAUGAGGACCUUGAAGCGGAACGUAUGGCGCAACACAUCAUUGCAGUUUGAUGCCAGUCAGAUGGGGGCAAAGAUCUGGUUAGAAGCAGAUCUCAGACGUUCCUUCAAACAAAUUACGUCCUACGCACGUCCAUGUGUUCAUCCGCGAGCAUGUUAAUUAGUGACUCUGCUGUCAUUGAUUUUCCAGCCUUAUUCAUGCUCUAAUGGCAUUUGGGAUAAAGGAGCACUUGUUCGAAUUAGUCCUAUGUAAUUAAAAAAAAAUGUGCCUUUAUC